This 477-nucleotide ribosomal RNA is filed under the name uncultured bacterium. Its description in RNAcentral is "bacterial SSU rRNA". It matches the Rfam family "Bacterial small subunit ribosomal RNA", at positions 28 to 500 of the family's 1533-position model. The record is from RNAcentral.
GAUGAACGCUAGCGGCAGGCUUAACACAUGCAAGUCGAGGGGCAUCACGGGUAGCAAUACCUGGUGGCGACCGGCGCAAGGGUGCGUAACGCGUGAGCAACACGCCCUAUACAGGGGGAUAAUCCAGGGAAACUUGGUCUAAUAUCCCAUAGCAUUUAGAGGUGGCAUCACCAUUAAAUUAAAGCUUCGGUGGUAUAGGAUUGGCUCGCGUGACAUUAGCUAGAUGGUGGGGUAACGGCUCACCAUGGCUAUGAUGUCUAGGGGUUCUGAGAGGAAGACCCCCCACACUGGGACUGAGACACGGCCCAGACUCCUACGGGAGGCAGCAGUGAGGAAUAUUGGACAAUGGAUGGAAAUCUGAUCCAGCCAUGCCGCGUGCAGGAAGACGGCCCUAUGGGUUGUAAACUGCUUUUAUAUGGGAGCAAUAAGGUCUACGAGUAGGCCGAUGAGAGUACCAUAUGAAUAAGCAUCGGCUAA